AAUAAAACUAACCGGUUAAGACAAAAAAAAACUAAAGAAAGAUUGCUACACGGAGAAAGGAGAAAGGGAGACCGAGAGAAAAGUGAGACAGAAAAAUAGAGAGGCAGAGAACGGAGAAGGAGAGAGAGAUCGAGAGAUCAAAAACUGCAGUUUGCAAUCAAGAAUGAAAAGAUGUCUCUCACUUCCUGUUAGAUUUUCUGCCAUCACCGUAAGCCUCCACUCGCUACCCGACCAUCGGAAUCACUACUGAUUUGGUUUUGAUUAAGGGAAGGAGACAAAAAAAAAAAGUUUGCGGCACAAUGGAGAUUCGACUGAAACUGAAAGGUCAAGAAGGAUUCCCCAAAUUUUCUUUUGUUGGAUUUAUAUUUUGGGUUAGAAUCCAAUCCUACUUUUAAUUUUGAUUUUAGGUUUUUGAAUGUUUUGGUAGAUAUUUAGAUUCCAAAAACAGCGAUUGAUAGAGAUCAUAAGGCAGAGAGAGAAACAUUUGAGGACUGCCAUUACCGCCAUUCUGGCCUUCCACAAUCAUGAUUCAUCCGGUCUCUCGCUGACUUGCUAUCAACAAGUUUCGAUUUUGUAAAACAUUUUUUACUUUUUGAGAAAGAAAUUGGCAUUAAAUAUUAUUUAGGCUUGGGAUUGUUUUUGCUAUACGUAUUUGGCUGAGAUUAAGGUAUUUUCAUUAUUUUGCUUUGAUUGUUUUUGCUUAAACCUUAUGACUGACUACCUUUUGCUGUUUACAUAUAAAGAAACCGAAACAUUUAGAAUCAACAUUAAGAGAAAGUUGGUAUCUGUAAGUCACGCACAAAGACGAAGAGAUGGACAGCGAGAAAGAGGAAACAGAGUAUUCCCACCCAUUGGCAGAUUUCUCAAACUCAAACCAACCUCACCGCUGCCAUCAUCACACUGCCACCAUCAUCACACUCCUGCCAACAACCCAAGUCAGCCCCAGUUGCAGCGACCCACCACCACCACCUCCGAUCUUGAUGUAGUGCUGCAUGCUCCCCACUUGACUUCAUCUUGGUUUUGGUUAAUUUUGGAGUUUGAUUUCAUCUGGUUCUUGCUGGUUCUGUGAUGGGUUAUUGCUAAUUUUAGUUUUUGGGUUUUUCUAUUAUGAUGGGUUAUUGCUAAUUUUAGUUUUUGGGAUUUUGUAUUUGGGUGGUACCACCUUGAUUUGUGGUUGAGGUUGGGCAGGUUUUGUGAUUUUGUUGUUGGAAGAAGAUAGGGAUCGGUGGUUGAGGUUGGGGUAGGGGUGAUUUUGUGGUUUUGUUGUGAGAAGAAAACAGAGGAG
This is a long non-coding RNA of Quercus lobata, 1285 nucleotides long. RefSeq lists it as uncharacterized. NCBI's taxonomy places the organism in Eukaryota, Viridiplantae, Streptophyta, Magnoliopsida, Fagales, Fagaceae. The transcript is spliced from 3 exons. The record is from RefSeq and is a predicted model, not a curated record.